Non-coding RNA from Mesocricetus auratus (golden hamster), 2617 nucleotides. The record is from the annotation of a RefSeq genome assembly. Lineage: Eukaryota; Metazoa; Chordata; Mammalia; Rodentia; Cricetidae.
ACAAUGCCCAUCUGGGACCUGACUCCACCAUGAGAUGCAGGCUUCUCUUCUGUAUUUUCCUACGUCUCCUGGAGACAGCUCUCGUGAACACUAAAACUAUCCAGACACCAAGAUAUCUGGUCAUGGGAAGGACAGAUAAGAAAUCUUUGAAAUGUGAACAACAUCUGGGAAAUAAUGCUAUGUAUUGGUAUAAACAGAAUGCGGAGAAGCCCCCAGAGCUCAUGUUUCUCUACAAUCUUAAAGAACUGAUUCGAAACGAGACUGUGCCCAGUCGUUUCUUUCCCGAAUGCCCAGAGACCUCCCAGCUACUCCUUCACCUGUCUGCCCUGGGGCCGGAAGACUCGGCUGUGUAUUUCUGUGCCAGCAGCAAAGACACAGCCCUGCAGAUUCGUCAGAUCUCUGUAUACAAACCUACAGGUUCAGGAAGCUGUGGGACCACUGAGGGCUCCACCGAACUCGGCUUCCGUAGGGCCCAAGACAGAAUGCUGCAAACCAUAACACCACCCUCCAACUCAACCCACGCAUCACCAUGGCCGUAUUUAGAGGUGGGGCUUCUUUCACCGUGCACGGCUCUCCUGCAAACUGAUGGAAAGAUAAGUACCUAUGGGUUUCAAUUUUUAAAGAAUUUUUUUAAUUGUGGGAGAAAAUAAACCUGCUAGAAAGCAAAUCGUUUCAACUAAUAAUUUACACAAUACGCCUAUCCAUCGUUAGACCCAGCACAGGUCUGGAAAGUGAGACAUUUUUCUGAGAGAGGCAUUUUAGGUCCUGACACUUCAAUUCCUCUUCUCAGCUGGAAGCUUGUACCCUGUCCAUACUCCUGCCUUACUCUUGCCAACAUCUGUCUGUUUCUUCAGUUUCAUCAUUUUAAGCCACUGUGCUUAGAGCCUCUGGCAUCCGGCUUUUCACUGACCAUCAGGAAAAAGAAGAGAUCCUAUGAUUCCUUUCAGCACUUACUCUGGUCUAGCUAUCUGAACCUGUAAACCAGAGGUGCCUGACAGUGGGUGAUUUAAGGCAGACUGCAUCCUUUAGAACAUUCAUGGGACCACCUUGGGGCGUCUCAUGCCCGUGAUGGCACACUGGUUUCUAUUCUCAAGAGUACACCCUGGAGCCUGCGUAGUAUGCCACAGGCUGUGACAUUGUGGACUUCCCUUCUGAUGUGUUGGCAAAGCCCAGGCAUGAGUCCUCUGGCCCUGCAUGGUCCCCUAUCAUGGGCUGUGCCCUCCUUUGCUGGGUAAACUUUGGUGUUGUGGGUGUGAGGCUAGAAAAUACUUGGGAAGUUCUCAUCUGCAUUUACAUGGAGCAAUUAUUAAAUUUCUCUUUAUCCCCCCCUUUUUUUGCUUUCUGUCUCCUCCACAGGGCACAUGGAAACUGGAGUCACACAAACCCCCUAAUCACGAUGUUACAGAAAUGGGACAGAAUGUCAUUUAGUCAUGUGACACAAUUUCUGGUCAUUUUGCCAUCUCUUGGUACCAACAGACGCCAGAAAAAGGAGUGGAGUUUGUGGUUUCAUUUUAUGACUCUUUCAAUGGUCAGUAAUCAGUAUAAAUGCCUGAUGGACUGUUCUACAUUCUGAAGAUUCAGCCUGUUUAUCCAGGAAGCUCUGCCGUAUAUCUAUGCUAGCAGCUUAACCACAGCCCUACAGAGAGGUUUUCUGUCUCCAAAAAAAAAAAAAAAAAAAAAAAAAAACCUUAAUGUUCUUCAUGUGGAGACAGAUGGUCAAGGUGCUUCCAACGACAGUAAGAAAGUAACCCCGAUUGCCUGCAAGGGGAUACAAAUGGGGAUGUGGGGAGUCAUACUUGGGAAAUGCUCACAGGUACCCUAGAAUGUGGCUAUGAAUACAGCAGUGGGGUAAAAGUAGCCAUAGUGGGGACCGUCAGAGAUCUCAUGGGAAUCUCUGCACCCAUUUGGGGGUCUCGGGUUGAGUUUCUUCUUAUUCAGCAGGGUAUGGUUUUCCAUCUGUGGGUGGAGGCAGGUCUUCUUCAGGGGGCAUGGAGGAUUCUCAUGAGGGCACCAAAAACAACCAGCUGAGAAUUUUCCAGAAGGGUGGCAGAUCUAAGCUCCAGAGUCUGAAGGUUAGCAAGAAAGUGUAGAAGAACACUUUUCUCUGUGUAGCCGGGUCUGACUUGGACUGGCUUCUCUCACUCCGUUGGGUCCUCACAGUCGCUGAUAAGAUAACCACUCAAUAUAUAUUUAUAGUAUUUGGCCAAUGGCUUAGGCUUAUUACUGGCUAGCUAUACCUAUAAAUUAGCCUGUUUUUAAUAUUUAAUAUCUUACUGUGAGGCUUGUGGCUUGUUACCUCACAUCUCGCUCCCCCAGCAGCCUCAGGGCAUCUCCUUUUAUCCUGCCUUCCUUCUCCUUGUAUCUUUGUAUGGCUUGCCCGCCUAGCUAAAUUUUGCCUGCCCACUGGCUGAAACAGCUUUAUUCAUCAACCAAUAAACGCGACACAUGUUCACAGCCUACAGAAGGACAUCCCACAUCAAGGAAAGACGGUUUGGAGCAGUAGGUGACAGUAGGAGCAGGAGCCUGCUCUUGCAUCAUGGGGGCGAUGUGAACCGUGGCUGCCAGUGCGUGUUGAGCUGCCUGCAAGUCGUGCAGGUUAGCUUCCAGGCUGCGUGAG